Long non-coding RNA from Sphaerodactylus townsendi, 887 nucleotides. RefSeq lists it as uncharacterized. NCBI's taxonomy places the organism in Eukaryota, Metazoa, Chordata, Lepidosauria, Squamata, Sphaerodactylidae. The transcript has 4 exons. The record is from RefSeq and is a predicted model, not a curated record.
GCUUGGCCUCUGGCAGGAGGGGAAUGCAAAUGACUCUCCGCCCGCACUCUUUGAAAUGAAGUGGGGCUAUGAAGCAGAUGCUGACUGCCUACAAAGAAGGCCAGAACAAAUUGCUGACUUCCUCUGCACUAUUAUGCAUUUUGGUACUCAGCUUCUCGGAGAAACAGUUCUGCACGUUGUUCCUUGUGAGAGGAAGAAAGAGAAAAGAAAAAACAAGUUGGAAAAUGGUUCGCUGUAAUUUUGUAAACGACGAUACCUCUUCACAUUUAUUGUGAAACUGUUGACAUGACUGUUGACAGGUGAGGGGAGAAGAUGGAGAGCGUCUGGCAGAGCUCCGGAAAUGUGCUCCGUGAGAACGAAGGAAAUGGGGAGAUGGAUAGGGCCAAAAUUCAUGUGAGGAAACAGAAAGUGGUACGAAAAUAAAGAACCAUCAAUUUGAUUUGCUCAGGAGAGAAGCAACAAUGAAACAGGGAAUCUGAGCUGCAGACAUUUGAAAUAAUCUCCUCCUUAGUUGAUAUGCCAAUCAGAACCAUUUAUGUGACUUUUCUGAUAAGUUCUGUUGAGCCAUCUUUCAGCUCUCUGUAUACCUUGUCUGUGCCCUUCCCUCUUUAUUAAUUUCCUAUCUGUCUUCAAUCCCUCUGUGAAGAUCAUUUUUGUCUGCCCUUCCAUUUUUCCUCAUUUAUCACUUGUGAACAAGUAGUAUAUUGGAUUUCUGGAAAUAAUUCACUUUCUUGAACUGAAUGGAGCUUUCCCCAUUUUAAAUACUUGUUAGCUUUUCAUUUUUAACAAAAAUUAUACUGCAGAUACACUGUUACAACAAUCAAGAGUAAAAUGAUGAAGAAACAACAAAACCCCCAGCCAUCUUUGAACAUGAACAAAAUUCCUUA